This 1634-nucleotide ribosomal RNA is filed under the name Enterobacter roggenkampii. Its description in RNAcentral is "partial 23S ribosomal RNA". It matches the Rfam family "Bacterial large subunit ribosomal RNA", at positions 545 to 2162 of the family's 2925-position model. The record is from RNAcentral. Lineage: Bacteria; Pseudomonadati; Pseudomonadota; Gammaproteobacteria; Enterobacterales; Enterobacteriaceae.
AGAACCUGAAACCGUGUACGUACAAGCAGUGGGAGCACCUUCGUGGUGUGACUGCGUACCUUUUGUAUAAUGGGUCAGCGACUUAUAUUCUGUAGCAAGGUUAACCGUAUAGGGGAGCCGAAGGGAAACCGAGUCUUAACUGGGCGUUAAGUUGCAGGGUAUAGACCCGAAACCCGGUGAUCUAGCCAUGGGCAGGUUGAAGGUUGGGUAACACUAACUGGAGGACCGAACCGACUAAUGUUGAAAAAUUAGCGGAUGACUUGUGGCUGGGGGUGAAAGGCCAAUCAAACCGGGAGAUAGCUGGUUCUCCCCGAAAGCUAUUUAGGUAGCGCCUCGUGAACUCAUCUUCGGGGGUAGAGCACUGUUUCGGCUAGGGGGCCAUCCCGGCUUACCAACCCGAUGCAAACUACGAAUACCGAAGAAUGUUAUCACGGGAGACACACGGCGGGUGCUAACGUCCGUCGUGAAGAGGGAAACAACCCAGACCGCCAGCUAAGGUCCCAAAGUCAUGGUUAAGUGGGAAACGAUGUGGGAAGGCACAGACAGCCAGGAUGUUGGCUUAGAAGCAGCCAUCAUUUAAAGAAAGCGUAAUAGCUCACUGGUCGAGUCGGCCUGCGCGGAAGAUGUAACGGGGCUAAACCAUGCACCGAAGCUGCGGCAGCGACGCUUAUGCGUUGUUGGGUAGGGGAGCGUUCUGUAAGCCGUUGAAGGUGUGCUGUGAGGCAUGCUGGAGGUAUCAGAAGUGCGAAUGCUGACAUAAGUAACGAUAAAGCGGGUGAAAAGCCCGCUCGCCGGAAGACCAAGGGUUCCUGUCCAACGUUAAUCGGGGCAGGGUGAGUCGACCCCUAAGGCGAGGCCGAAAGGCGUAGUCGAUGGGAAACAGGUUAAUAUUCCUGUACUUGGUGUUACUGCGAAGGGGGGACGGAGAAGGCUAUGUUAGCCGGGCGACGGUUGUCCCGGUUUAAGCAUGUAGGCGGAGGUUCCAGGUAAAUCCGGUACCUUUUAACGCUGAGGUGUGAUGACGAGGCACUACGGUGCUGAAGUAACAAAUGCCCUGCUUCCAGGAAAAGCCUCUAAGCAUCAGGUAACAUCAAAUCGUACCCCAAACCGACACAGGUGGUCAGGUAGAGAAUACCAAGGCGCUUGAGAGAACUCGGGUGAAGGAACUAGGCAAAAUGGUGCCGUAACUUCGGGAGAAGGCACGCUGAUAUGUAGGUGAAGCCCCUGCGGGUGGAGCUGAAAUCAGUCGAAGAUACCAGCUGGCUGCAACUGUUUAUUAAAAACACAGCACUGUGCAAACACGAAAGUGGACGUAUACGGUGUGACGCCUGCCCGGUGCCGGAAGGUUAAUUGAUGGGGUUAGCGGCAACGCGAAGCUCUUGAUCGAAGCCCCGGUAAACGGCGGCCGUAACUAUAACGGUCCUAAGGUAGCGAAAUUCCUUGUCGGGUAAGUUCCGACCUGCACGAAUGGCGUAAUGAUGGCCAGGCUGUCUCCACCCGAGACUCAGUGAAAUUGAACUCGCUGUGAAGAUGCAGUGUACCCGCGGCAAGACGGAAAGACCCCGUGAACCUUUACUAUAGCUUGACACUGAACACUGGUCCUUGAUGUGUAGGAUAGGUGGGAGGCUUUGAAG